UACGAAGGAGGCGAGCGUUAUCCGGAUUCACUGGGCGUAAAGCGCAUGUAGGCGGUUGGACAAGUCGUGUGUUAAAGCCCCUGGCUCAACUGGGGGAGGUCAUGCGAGACUGUGCGACUUGAGGGCAAGAGAGGCACGUGGAACUCCCGGUGUAGCGGUGGAAUGCGUAGAGAUCGGGAAGAACACCAGUGGCGAAGGCGACGUGCUGGGUUGCACCUGACGCUGAGAUGCGAAAGUGUGGGGAGCAAACGGG
Molecule: ribosomal RNA, 253 nt
Filed under: uncultured bacterium
Lineage: Bacteria
Description: partial 16S ribosomal RNA
Rfam family: Bacterial small subunit ribosomal RNA
Source: RNAcentral